UAAGGAAUAUUGCUCAAUGGGAGAAAUCCUGAAGCAGCAACGCCGCGUGGAGGAUGAAGGGUCUAUGACUUGUAAACUCCUGUAAAGAAGGAAAAAAUUCCCAUUAGAUGGGAGAUGAUGGUACUUCUGGAGUAAGCCCCGGCUAACUACGUGCCAGCAGCCGCGGUAAUACGUAGGGGGCAAGCGUUGUCCGGAUUUACUGGGUGUAAAGGGUGCUCAGGCGGAUUUGUAAGUCAGAGGUGAAAUCUUACAGCUUAACUGUGAAACUGCCUUUGAUACUGCAAGCCUAGAGUAUGGAAGAGAGUGAUGGAAUAUCUGGUGUAGCAGUGAAAUGCGUAGAUAUCAGAUAGAACACCAAUGGCGAAGGCAGUCACUUGAUCUAUUACUGACGCUAAAGCACGAAAGCGUGGGUAGCAAACA
RNAcentral lists this ribosomal RNA (420 nucleotides) under uncultured bacterium. RNAcentral's name for it is "bacterial SSU rRNA". It matches the Rfam family "Bacterial small subunit ribosomal RNA", at positions 355 to 774 of the family's 1533-position model. The record is from RNAcentral.